This is a long non-coding RNA of Ipomoea triloba (trilobed morning glory), 422 nucleotides long. RefSeq lists it as uncharacterized. Lineage: Eukaryota; Viridiplantae; Streptophyta; Magnoliopsida; Solanales; Convolvulaceae. The record is from RefSeq and is a predicted model, not a curated record. The transcript has 3 exons.
UAAAAAUUUGUUAAAAUGGAGGGAAAUUAAGUGUCCUACACAACCCGGUAGUGUGGAGUGCGGAUAUUAUGUCUUGCGAUAUAUGUUUGAGAUAUGCACUCAAUACUAUGAGUAUGAAGAUUUAGCAUCGGCAUUUGCGGGGUCAAAGUCCUACACGGAGAAUCAAAUCAAUGAAAUUCGUGAACUUUGGGCUAAAUACUUUUGUGAAGAAUGCUUAUGACAUUUUGUGUAGGUAAAGUGUUGUAAUGAUGUAAUGACUUAUGUUUUAUAAUAUUGUAAUGAUGUAUGUGUUAAGUAUUUGGUAUGUGUUAAAAUUAUGUGUUUACUAUUAACAUUAUAUGUUUACUUAUUAUGUUUUAUUUGGUAUGCGUUAAGUAUUUUGGUAACUUAGUUUUACUUUGAAUUGGUGAGAAAUAUUUAGA